GCCAUUGUGGUGUAGUGGUUUGAGUGUUGGACUAUGACUCUGGAGACCAGGGUUCAAAACACUACUUAGCCA
Molecule: non-coding RNA, 72 nt
Organism: Phrynosoma platyrhinos (Desert horned lizard)
Lineage: Eukaryota; Metazoa; Chordata; Lepidosauria; Squamata; Phrynosomatidae
Source: the annotation of a GenBank genome assembly